GCGGCAGGCCUAAUACAUGCAAGUCGAGCGCGCCCUUCGGGGUGAGCGGCGGACGGGUGAGUAACGCGUGGGAAUAUGCCCUUCUCUAAGGAAUAGCCUCUGGAAACGGAGAGUAAUACCUUAUACGCCCUUUGGGGGAAAGAUUUAUCGGAGAAGGAUUAGCCCGCGUUAGAUUAGGUAGUUGGUGGGGUAAUGGCCUACCAAGCCUACGAUCUAUAGCUGGUUUGAGAGGAUGAUCAGCCACACUGGGACUGAGACACGGCCCAGACUCCUACGGGAGGCAGCAGUAGGGAAUCUUAGACAAUGGGGGCAACCCUGAUCUAGCCAUGCCGCGUGUGUGAUGAAGGCCCUAGGGUCGUAAAGCACUUUCGCCAGAGAUGAUAAUGACAGUAUCUGGUAAAGAAACCCCGGCUAACUCCGUGCCAGCAGCCGCGGUAAUACGGAGGGGGUUAGCGUUGUUCGGAAUUACUGGGCGUAAAGCGCACGUAGGCGGAUUAGUAAGUUAGAGGUGAAAUCCCAGGGCUCAACCCUGGAACUGCCUUUAAUACUGCUAGUCUUGAGUUCGAGAGAGGUAAGUGGAAUUCCGAGUGUAGAGGUGAAAUUCGUAGAUAUUCGGAGGAACACCAGUGGCGAAGGCGGCUUACUGGCUCGAUACUGACGCUGAGGUGCGAAAGUGUGGGGAGCAAACAGGAUUAGAUACCCUGGUAGUCCACACCGUAAACGAUGAAUGCCAGACGUCAGCAAGUAUACUUGUUGGUGUCACACCUAACGGAUUAAGCAUCC
This 783-nucleotide ribosomal RNA is filed under the name uncultured Paracoccaceae bacterium. RNAcentral's name for it is "bacterial SSU rRNA". It matches the Rfam family "Bacterial small subunit ribosomal RNA", at positions 39 to 869 of the family's 1533-position model. Lineage: Bacteria; Pseudomonadati; Pseudomonadota; Alphaproteobacteria; Rhodobacterales; Paracoccaceae. The record is from RNAcentral.